RNAcentral lists this ribosomal RNA (497 nucleotides) under uncultured bacterium. RNAcentral describes it as "partial 16S ribosomal RNA". It matches the Rfam family "Bacterial small subunit ribosomal RNA", at positions 28 to 507 of the family's 1533-position model. The record is from RNAcentral.
GAUGAACGCUGGCGGCGUGCCUAAUACAUGCAAGUCGAGCGAACAGACGAGGAGCUUGCUCUUCUGACGUUAGCGGCGGACGGGUGAGUAACACGUGGAUAACCUACCUAUAAGACUGGGAUAACUUCGGGAAACCGGAGCUAAUACCGGAUAAUAUUUUGAACCGCAUGGUUCAAUAGUGAAAGACGGUUUUGCUGUCACUUAUAGAUGGAUCCGCGCCGCAUUAGCUAGUUGGUAAGGUAACGGCUUACCAAGGCAACGAUGCGUAGCCGACCUGAGAGGGUGAUCGGCCACACUGGAACUGAGACACGGUCCAGACUCCUACGGGAGGCAGCAGUAGGGAAUCUUCCGCAAUGGGCGAAAGCUUGACGGAGCAACGCCGCGUGAGUGAUGAAGGUCUUCGGAUCGUAAAACUCUGUUAUUAGGGAAGAACAAAUGUGUAAGUAACUAUGCACGUCUUGACGGUACCUAAUCAGAAAGCCACGGCUAACUACGUG